Molecule: ribosomal RNA, 213 nt
Filed under: Bacillus infantis
Lineage: Bacteria; Bacillati; Bacillota; Bacilli; Caryophanales; Bacillaceae
Description: partial 16S ribosomal RNA
Rfam family: Bacterial small subunit ribosomal RNA
Source: RNAcentral
UUAUAUGGAGAGUUUGAUCCUGGCUCAGGACGAACGCUGGCGGCGUGCCUAAUACAUGCAAGUCGAGCGGACGGAUGGGAGCUUGCUCCCUGAAGUCAGCGGCGGACGGGUGAGUAACACGUGGGCAACCUGCCUGUAAGACUGGGAUAACUUCGGGAAACCGGAGCUAAUACCGGAUAAUGCAUAACCUCUCAUGAGGUUAUGCUGAAAGAU